GUCAUACUUAAAGGGAUGUUCUAGGAACAAUAAUUUCAUAUCAUUGAAUUGGUUGUAGUGCCUAGACCACCUUGCCACUGUCCUUCCAGUCAGUGUUUUGACCAUUUCUGAAAAGCAGUUUAAAAAAAAAAAAACUGAGGGUCCCUGCGUGCCCCCAGCCCCUUUGCAGGUAUGACUAAGACAAAGAUUACACUUUUCCUUAGUCAUGCCAGUAAUGGGCAACUCAAAGGCUGAAAUUAAUCAGUAGAUACUUGGCUUAUCCUGUCAAUGCUGCCCAUUGCUGCCUAGGCUACUAUUUCAUCAUGGGUUCUCUUGAUGCUGGUAAUUGUCUUUCACUUUCGUUUCCCACUUUCUGGGAUUUUCUCAUAGGAGGUGAAAGCUACAUCUCUAAAAUGUGGUGUGCAAUAUCUCCAAAACCAAAAUGACGCAAAAUGGUACAAACGAAUGGAUUAGGGGAGCAGGGAGUCUAAUUAAAAAGAAAAAUGAGGACAGCAGGUCUGACCUAUUUUGGUCCAACUUUUUUUUUUUCUUUUCUAUUUUUAUUCCCCCAACACCAUCAUCUUUUCAAAAGGUGCUGCUUCUACAAUGCAGCCUCCCAUGUACUUAAAAAUGCAGCUCUUGAUGUUCUCCCGAACCAAAAACACGUCCUCUAAAUUAUUAAACGUUCUUGGCACCUGAUUAUGCUCAAAAGGGAGGACACUGAUAUCUUGUGUG
Pelobates cultripes (western spadefoot toad) is the source of this 714-nucleotide non-coding RNA. NCBI's taxonomy places the organism in Eukaryota, Metazoa, Chordata, Amphibia, Anura, Pelobatidae. The record is from the annotation of a GenBank genome assembly.